This 232-nucleotide ribosomal RNA is filed under the name uncultured bacterium. RNAcentral describes it as "partial 16S ribosomal RNA". It matches the Rfam family "Bacterial small subunit ribosomal RNA", at positions 15 to 235 of the family's 1533-position model. The record is from RNAcentral.
GAUCCCGGCUCAGGACGAACGCUGGCGGCGUGCCUAACACAUGCAAGUCGAGCGGGGAAUAUUGAGCAGCUUGCUGCUUGGUAUUUCUAGCGGCGGACGGGUGAGUAACGCGUGAGCAACCUGCCUUUAUCAGGGGGAUAACGCAUCGAAAGAUGUGCUAAUACCGCGUAAGACCACAGCUUCACAUGGAGCAGGGGGUCAAAGGAGCAAUCCGGAUAAAGAUGGGCUCGCG